RNAcentral lists this transfer RNA (67 nucleotides) under Trioceros quadricornis. RNAcentral's name for it is "tRNA-Ala". Lineage: Eukaryota; Metazoa; Chordata; Lepidosauria; Squamata; Chamaeleonidae. The record is from RNAcentral.
GAAAGUCCGUUGUAACUACCAACAUCCCCUGAAUGCAACUCAGACACUUUAAUUAAGCUAGGACUUC